CCCUGGCUCAGCCGGCCACCUCAACGUGGUGCCAGGGACUAGUACUCUUUACUAGAGAGGAAGUCAAGCGCCUG
This 74-nucleotide non-coding RNA is filed under the name Trypanosoma cruzi strain CL Brener. The record is from RNAcentral. Lineage: Eukaryota; Euglenozoa; Kinetoplastea; Trypanosomatida; Trypanosomatidae.